GAUGAACGCUGGCGGCGUGCCUAAUACAUGCAAGUAGAGCGCACGGACGAUAAGCUUGCUUCUCUGAUCUUAGCGUGGGACGUGCGAAUGACACGUGGAUGCCCUGCUUAUAUGACUGGGAUAAGUUGGGGAAACCGGGACUAAUAAGGUAAUAUAUUUUGAUACUAAUUGUUCAAAGGUAAAUGACUGAAUUGCUCACACUUAUAGAUGGCUCAUGGCUGCAUUAGGUAUUUGGUAAGGUAACGGCUUACGAAGGAAACGAUGCAUAGCCGACCUGCGAGGUGGACCGGCCACACUGGAACUGGAACACGGCCCAGACUCCUACGGGAGGCAGCAUUAGGGAACCUUCGGCAAUGGGCGAAAGCCUGACGGAGCAACGCGGCGGGAUUGAUGAAGGUCUUCGGAUCUUAAAACUCUGUUAUUAGGGAAGAACAUAUGUGUAAGUAACUGUGCACAUCUUGACGGUACCUAAUCAGAAAGCCACGGCUAACUACGUG
Molecule: ribosomal RNA, 497 nt
Filed under: uncultured bacterium
Lineage: Bacteria
Description: partial 16S ribosomal RNA
Rfam family: Bacterial small subunit ribosomal RNA
Source: RNAcentral